UGGGGAAUCUUGCGCAAUGGGCGAAAGCCUGACGCAGCAACGCCGCGUGGAGGAUGAAGGCCCUUGGGUUGUAAACUCCUGUCGGCUGGGAAGAAGUCGUUCGCGGUUAAUACCCGCGGACGUUGACUGUACCAGCAAAGGAAGCCCCGGCUAACUCUGUGCCAGCAGCCGCGGUAAUACAGAGGGGGCCAGCGUUAUUCGGAAUUAUUGGGCGUAAAGGGCGCGUAGGCGGCCAUGCGUGUCUUCCGUGAAAUCCCUCGGCUCAACCGAGGACGUGCGGAAGAAACUGCAAGGCUCGAGUCCAGAAGAGGGGGGCGGAAUUCCCAGUGUAGCGGUGAAAUGCGUAGAUAUUGGGAGGAACACCGGUGGCGAAGGCGGCCCCCUGGGCUGGUACUGACGCUGAUGCGCGAAAGCGUGGGUAGCAAACGGG
This 430-nucleotide ribosomal RNA is filed under the name Brucella melitensis. RNAcentral describes it as "partial 16S ribosomal RNA". It matches the Rfam family "Bacterial small subunit ribosomal RNA", at positions 355 to 776 of the family's 1533-position model. Lineage: Bacteria; Pseudomonadati; Pseudomonadota; Alphaproteobacteria; Hyphomicrobiales; Brucellaceae. The record is from RNAcentral. RNAcentral also lists the same sequence under 1 other name.